Pangasius djambal is the source of this 72-nucleotide non-coding RNA. NCBI's taxonomy places the organism in Eukaryota, Metazoa, Chordata, Actinopteri, Siluriformes, Pangasiidae. The record is from the annotation of a GenBank genome assembly.
GGUUCCGUAGUGUAGUGGUUAUCCUGUCUACUUUACAUGGCGAAGGUCCUGGGUCAAGCCCCAGUGGAACCA